RNAcentral lists this ribosomal RNA (320 nucleotides) under uncultured eukaryote. RNAcentral describes it as "partial 18S ribosomal RNA". It matches the Rfam family "Eukaryotic small subunit ribosomal RNA", at positions 1470 to 1796 of the family's 1831-position model. The record is from RNAcentral.
CCCUUAGAUGUUCUGGGCCGCACGCGCGCUACACUGACGAAUGCAACGAGCUUAUAACCUUGGCCGAAAGGUCUGGGUAAUCUCCAAAUUUCGUCGUGAUGGGGAUAGAUUAUUGCAAUUAUUAAUCUUCAACGAGGAAUGCCUAGUAAGCGCAAGUCAUCAGCUUGCAUUGAUUACGUCCCUGCCCUUUGUACACACCGCCCGUCGCACCUACCGAUUGAAUGGUCCGGUGAAAUCUCGGGACGGCGGCUUGGUCGCUUGCGUCCGACUGCUGAAACUUGAUUAAACCAUNUNAUUUAGNGGAAGGUGAANUCGUANCA